RNAcentral lists this ribosomal RNA (279 nucleotides) under uncultured archaeon. RNAcentral's name for it is "partial 16S ribosomal RNA". It matches the Rfam family "Archaeal small subunit ribosomal RNA", at positions 255 to 533 of the family's 1478-position model. The record is from RNAcentral.
UGCCCAUAAUAGGCACGGGUUGUGAGAGCAAGAGCCCGGAGACGGUAUUUGAGACAAGAUACCGGGCCCCUAGGGGCGCAGCAGGCGCGAAACCUUUACACUGCACGAAAGUGCGAUAAGGGGACUCCAAGUGCGAGGGCAUAUAGUCCUCGCUUUUCACCUCCGUAAGGAGGCGGUAGAAUAAGUGCUGGGCAAGACCGGUGCCAGCCGCCGCGGUAAUACCGGCAGCACGAGUGAUGACCGCUCUUAUUGGGCCUAAAGCGUCCGUAGCUACUUUCC